CCAGAGGGUCGGGCGGCCGCGGCCCCGUUGCAGAACGGGGGCGAGGAAAGUCCGGGCUCCACGGAAACAACGGUGCCGGGUAAUGCCCGGCGGGGGCAACCCCAGGGAAAGUGCCACAGAGAGCAGACCGCCGCUUUCGGGCGGCAAGGGUGAAAGGGUGCGGUAAGAGCGCACCGCGGACCUGGUAACAGGGACGGCAUGGCAAACCCCACCGGGAGCAAGACCGAAUAGGGGCGGCAUAUGGGCAAGUUCCGGCCCGUCGCCCGGGUUGGUUGCUUGAGCCGCCACGCAAGUGACGGCCUAGAGGAAUGGUCGCCUAUCCGGGUGGUUCGCAAGAAGCACCCGGUGGACAGAACCCGGCUUACAGACCCUCUGGCAUU
Molecule: RNase P RNA, 380 nt
Filed under: Sphingomonas sp.
Lineage: Bacteria; Pseudomonadati; Pseudomonadota; Alphaproteobacteria; Sphingomonadales; Sphingomonadaceae
Description: RNase P RNA component class A
Rfam family: Bacterial RNase P class A
About the family: Ribonuclease P (RNase P) is a ubiquitous endoribonuclease, found in archaea, bacteria and eukarya as well as chloroplasts and mitochondria.
Source: RNAcentral